UCCAGACUCCUACGGGAGGCAGCAGUGGGGGAUAUUGCACAAUGGGGGAAACCCUGAUGCAGCGACGCCGCGUGAGUGAAGAAGUAUUUCGGUAUGUAAAGCUCUCUCAGCAGGGAAGAAAAUGACGGUACCUGACUAAGAAGCCCCGGCUAACUACGUGCCAGUAGCCGCGGUAAUACGUAGGGGGCAAGCGUUAUCCGGAUUUACUGGGUGUAAAGGGAGCGUAGACGGCAUGGCAAGUCAGAUGUGAAAGCCCGGGGCUCAACCCCGGGACUGCAUUUGAAACUGUCAGGCUGGAGUGCAGGAGAGGUAAGUGGAAUUCCUAGUGUAGCGGUGAAAUGCGUAGAUAUUAGGAGGAACACCAGUGGCGAAGGCGGCUUACUGGACUGUAACUGACGUUGAGGCUCGAAAGCGUGGGGAGCAAACAGGAUUAGAUACCCGGGUAGG
Molecule: ribosomal RNA, 447 nt
Filed under: uncultured bacterium
Lineage: Bacteria
Description: bacterial SSU rRNA
Rfam family: Bacterial small subunit ribosomal RNA
Source: RNAcentral